This is a non-coding RNA of Klebsiella pneumoniae subsp. pneumoniae MGH 78578, 2902 nucleotides long. Lineage: Bacteria; Pseudomonadati; Pseudomonadota; Gammaproteobacteria; Enterobacterales; Enterobacteriaceae. The record is from Rfam.
GGUUAAGCGACUAAGCGUACACGGUGGAUGCCCUGGCAGUCAGAGGCGAUGAAGGACGUGCUAAUCUGCGAAAAGCGUCGGUAAGGUGAUAUGAACCGUUAUAACCGGCGAUGUCCGAAUGGGGAAACCCAGUGCAAUUCGUUGCACUAUCGUUAACUGAAUACAUAGGUUAACGAGGCGAACCGGGGGAACUGAAACAUCUAAGUACCCCGAGGAAAAGAAAUCAACCGAGAUUCCCCCAGUAGCGGCGAGCGAACGGGGAGCAGCCCAGAGUCUGAAUCAGCUUGUGUGUUAGUGGAACGGUCUGGAAAGUCCGACGGUACAGGGUGAUAGUCCCGUACACCAAAAUGCACAGGCUGUGAACUCGAAGAGUAGGGCGGGACACGUGGUAUCCUGUCUGAAUAUGGGGGGACCAUCCUCCAAGGCUAAAUACUCCUGACUGACCGAUAGUGAACCAGUACCGUGAGGGAAAGGCGAAAAGAACCCCGGCGAGGGGAGUGAAAAAGAACCUGAAACCGUGUACGUACAAGCAGUGGGAGCACCUUCGGGUGUGACUGCGUACCUUUUGUAUAAUGGGUCAGCGACUUAUAUUCUGUAGCAAGGUUAACCGUAUAGGGGAGCCGCAGGGAAACCGAGUCUUAACUGGGCGUUAAGUUGCAGGGUAUAGACCCGAAACCCGGUGAUCUAGCCAUGGGCAGGUUGAAGGUUGGGUAACACUAACUGGAGGACCGAACCGACUAAUGUUGAAAAAUUAGCGGAUGACUUGUGGCUGGGGGUGAAAGGCCAAUCAAACCGGGAGAUAGCUGGUUCUCCCCGAAAGCUAUUUAGGUAGCGCCUCGUGAACUCAUCUUCGGGGGUAGAGCACUGUUUCGGCUAGGGGGUCAUCCCGACUUACCAACCCGAUGCAAACUACGAAUACCGAAGAAUGUUAUCACGGGAGACACACGGCGGGUGCUAACGUCCGUCGUGAAGAGGGAAACAACCCAGACCGCCAGCUAAGGUCCCAAAGUCAUGGUUAAGUGGGAAACGAUGUGGGAAGGCACAGACAGCCAGGAUGUUGGCUUAGAAGCAGCCAUCAUUUAAAGAAAGCGUAAUAGCUCACUGGUCGAGUCGGCCUGCGCGGAAGAUGUAACGGGGCUAAACCAUGCACCGAAGCUGCGGCAGCGACACUAUGUGUUGUUGGGUAGGGGAGCGUUCUGUAAGCCUGCGAAGGUGUGCUGUGAGGCAUGCUGGAGGUAUCAGAAGUGCGAAUGCUGACAUAAGUAACGAUAAAGCGGGUGAAAAGCCCGCUCGCCGGAAGACCAAGGGUUCCUGUCCAACGUUAAUCGGGGCAGGGUGAGUCGACCCCUAAGGCGAGGCCGAAAGGCGUAGUCGAUGGGAAACAGGUUAAUAUUCCUGUACUUGGUGUUACUGCGAAGGGGGGACGGAGAAGGCUAUGUUAGCCGGGCGACGGUUGUCCCGGUUUAAGCAUGUAGGCUGGUUGUCCAGGCAAAUCCGGAUAAUCAAGGCUGAGGUGUGAUGACGAGGCACUACGGUGCUGAAGUAACAAAUGCCCUGCUUCCAGGAAAAGCCUCUAAGCAUCAGGUAACAUCAAAUCGUACCCCAAACCGACACAGGUGGUCAGGUAGAGAAUACCAAGGCGCUUGAGAGAACUCGGGUGAAGGAACUAGGCAAAAUGGUGCCGUAACUUCGGGAGAAGGCACGCUGGUGUGUAGGUGAAGUCCCUGCGGAUGGAGCUGAGACCAGUCGAAGAUACCAGCUGGCUGCAACUGUUUAUUAAAAACACAGCACUGUGCAAACACGAAAGUGGACGUAUACGGUGUGACGCCUGCCCGGUGCCGGAAGGUUAAUUGAUGGGGUUAUCCGUAAGGAGAAGCUCUUGAUCGAAGCCCCGGUAAACGGCGGCCGUAACUAUAACGGUCCUAAGGUAGCGAAAUUCCUUGUCGGGUAAGUUCCGACCUGCACGAAUGGCGUAAUGAUGGCCAGGCUGUCUCCACCCGAGACUCAGUGAAAUUGAACUCGCUGUGAAGAUGCAGUGUACCCGCGGCAAGACGGAAAGACCCCGUGAACCUUUACUAUAGCUUGACACUGAACAUUGAGCCUUGAUGUGUAGGAUAGGUGGGAGGCUUUGAAGCGUGGACGCCAGUCUGCGUGGAGCCAACCUUGAAAUACCACCCUUUAAUGUUUGAUGUUCUAACGUUGGCCCCUUACCGGGGUUGCGGACAGUGUCUGGUGGGUAGUUUGACUGGGGCGGUCUCCUCCCAAAGCGUAACGGAGGAGCACGAAGGUUAGCUAAUCCUGGUCGGACAUCAGGAGGUUAGUGCAAUGGCAUAAGCUAGCUUGACUGCGAGCGUGACGGCGCGAGCAGGUGCGAAAGCAGGUCAUAGUGAUCCGGUGGUUCUGAAUGGAAGGGCCAUCGCUCAACGGAUAAAAGGUACUCCGGGGAUAACAGGCUGAUACCGCCCAAGAGUUCAUAUCGACGGCGGUGUUUGGCACCUCGAUGUCGGCUCAUCACAUCCUGGGGCUGAAGUAGGUCCCAAGGGUAUGGCUGUUCGCCAUUUAAAGUGGUACGCGAGCUGGGUUUAGAACGUCGUGAGACAGUUCGGUCCCUAUCUGCCGUGGGCGCUGGAGAAUUGAGGGGGGCUGCUCCUAGUACGAGAGGACCGGAGUGGACGCAUCACUGGUGUUCGGGUUGUCAUGCCAAUGGCACUGCCCGGUAGCUAAAUGCGGAAGAGAUAAGUGCUGAAAGCAUCUAAGCACGAAACUUGCCCCGAGAUGAGUUCUCCCUGAGACUUUAAGUCUCCUGAAGGAACGUUAAAGACGAUGACGUUGAUAGGCCGGGUGUGUAAGCGCAGCGAUGCGUUGAGCUAACCGGUACUAAUGAACCGUGAGGCUUAACCUU